ACCUUCCCUUGAAGCUGGGAUAAGCCCGGGAAACUGGGUCUAAUACUGGAUAUGACCUUUCUCCGCAUGGUGGAAGGUGGAAAGAUUUAUCGGUCUUGGAUGGACUCGCGGCCUAUCAACUUGUUGGUGAGGUAAUGGAUCACCAAGGCGACGACGGGUAGCCGGCCUGAGAGGGUGACCGGCCACACUGGGACUGAGACACGGCCCAGACUCCUACGGGAGGCAGCAGUGGGGAAUAUUGCACAAUGGGCGCAAGCCUGAUGCAGCGACGCCGCGUGAGGGAUGACGGCCUUCGGGUUGUAAACCUCUUUCAGUAGGGAAGAAGCCUUUCGGGGUGACGGUACCUGCAGAAGAAGCGCCGGCUAACUACGUGCCAGCAGCCGCGGUAAUACGUAGGGCGCGAGCGUUAUCCGGAAUUAUUGGGCGUAAAGAGCUCGUAGGCGGUUUGUCGCGUCUGCUGUGAAAGCCCGGGGCUUAACUCCGGGUCUGCAGUGGGUACGGGCAGACUAGAGUGCAGUAGGGGAGACUGGAAUUCCUGGUGUAGCGGUGAAAUGCGCAGAUAUCAGGAGGAACACCGAUGGCGAAGGCAGGUCUCUGGGCUGUUACUGACGCUGAGGAGCGAAAGCAUGGGGAGCGAACAGGAUUAGAUACCCUGGRUAGUCCAUGCCGUAAACGUUGGGCACUAGGUGUGGGGGACAUUCCACGUUUUCCGCGCCGUAGCUAACGCAUUAAGUGCCCCGCCUGGGGAGUACGGCCGCAAGGCUAAA
Molecule: ribosomal RNA, 767 nt
Filed under: Citricoccus sp. PF2-3
Lineage: Bacteria; Bacillati; Actinomycetota; Actinomycetes; Micrococcales; Micrococcaceae
Description: bacterial SSU rRNA
Rfam family: Bacterial small subunit ribosomal RNA
Source: RNAcentral